RNAcentral lists this ribosomal RNA (253 nucleotides) under uncultured bacterium. RNAcentral's name for it is "partial 16S ribosomal RNA". It matches the Rfam family "Bacterial small subunit ribosomal RNA", at positions 524 to 776 of the family's 1533-position model. The record is from RNAcentral.
GACAGAGGGUGCAAACGUUGUUCGGAAUUACUGGGCGUAAAGCGAGUGUAGGCGGUUUGGUAAGUCGGAUGUGAAAGCCCCGGGCUCAACCCGGGAAGUGCACUCGAUACUGCCAAGCUAGAGUGUCGGAGAGGUUGGUGGAAUUCUCGGUGUAGAGGUGAAAUUCGUAGAGAUCGGAAGGAACGCCCGUGGCGAAAGCGAGGUCCUGGACGCCUACUGACGCUGAGACGCGAAAGCCAGGGGAGCGAACGGG